ACCCGUUCAGAUAAUUCCGAAGAAAGACUGUUGGCGGCAGGUAGAGAGAUUUUUUUUUCCUCUUCAAAACACAAGGAAAUACGGGCAGGGUAGAGCUCGGCAGAGGGUUCGAGAAUAGGGUAGGGUCCUGUCCUUAAGAUUCAGAUAAGAAAAAUUAUGCAGGUGGGUUGAGGCUAAUGCCAUUACCAAGCAAAAAUCCAUCAAUUUGGAAAAACCCAUGUUCUCCAUUCUAAUUUCCACAAUAACGCAUCCAUUUAGUCCCAAAAAUCAUCAAUUUAAGUAUACAUAAGACAUUUAAACCAUGAGAUAUAUGAUUCAAGUGAUAAUCAUUCGAAG
RNAcentral lists this long non-coding RNA (336 nucleotides) under Capsicum annuum. Its description in RNAcentral is "long non-coding RNA (CANN_LNC021731)". Lineage: Eukaryota; Viridiplantae; Streptophyta; Magnoliopsida; Solanales; Solanaceae. The record is from RNAcentral.